UGCAUGGUGAGGCUGCAACGUCGCAGCCGUUCUCCAGGGUCCGACGUGGGGAAGAAGACGGCGGCGGGGAGGCCCGAACCGCCGAGGUCCAAACGGAAACCCAACGCCGACAGCAGGGAUCGCCACCCGGGAACACCGCCGACCUUUUAACACGAGCGCAGCAGACAAGUGAAGGUGGAGAAGGACCCUCAGGGCGUCCCUGGCCCUGUCGGCGUGCCGGAGGACCUCCGCCAAGGCCUGUCGCGCCACGGACUCGGGGCCGCUCACCUUCACGUCGCCGCCGAUCAGAAGGGCUGCUGUUUCAGCACCCUGAGUCCAGCCCGUGUGUGUGAGUGCUUUGCAGGGUUGGCGUGUUGGAGUCUAGCAGCUGCACCUUGUCAUCCUCAUUACGUCUGACUGCUCUUAAGACGCUGUGGGAGUCCAACUUGUCGCCAGACUAUCAACGCUCUACGUCAAUCUGCCAUCUGCCCUUGCUCCCUGCAAACCAGUGCUCACCUCUUGCGGCCCACCGACGACCAGGACUCCUACCCUGCCAGACCCAAUCUAAAUCCCGGAUUUAGUUCUCAGAGUUCCUUUGUUCGCUUCCGAGCUGCAAUAAACUUUUGUUCACAAACUCACCUCCCUGUCCUCUCUCCAUCUCGGUCCAACUCGCAACCUGAAUCCUGACACAAAACAAUCAAAGCCCCGGUGGACCCUUGCGAUACAUCUGUUCAACAACUUGACUCAUCCAAUGCUGCAAACUCUUAGGGGAGCCCCUGCGUGCACUCAGUUACUAAAACUAAUGCUUUGGGCUCCUAAGGUAGAUAAUAGACACCGUCACCACUACGACGAACAGCACUCGGGCACUGCCAAGGAGAAGGAUGGAAGUUGGAGG
This is a long non-coding RNA of Phyllopteryx taeniolatus (common seadragon), 874 nucleotides long. RefSeq lists it as uncharacterized. The record is from RefSeq and is a predicted model, not a curated record. The transcript is spliced from 4 exons. Lineage: Eukaryota; Metazoa; Chordata; Actinopteri; Syngnathiformes; Syngnathidae.